UUCCUCGAGUCGUUGAUUUCACACUGCCGAGAAAAGCCUCUAGCUAGAAUAACGGUGCCCGUACCGCAAACCGACACAGGUAGUCAAGAUGAGAAUUCUAAGGUGAGCGAGCGAACUCUCGUUAAGGAACUCGGCAAAAUGACCCCGUAACUUCGGGAGAAGGGGUGCUCUUUGAGGUUCACGCUUCGAAGAGCCGCAGUGAAUAGGCCCAAGCGACUGUUUAUCAAAAACACAGGUCUCUGCUAAACCGUAAGGUGACGUAUAGGGGCUGACGCCUGCCCGGUGCUGGAAGGUUAAGAGGAGUGGUUAGCGCAAGCGAAGCUACGAAUCGAAGCCCCAGUAAACGGCGGCCGUAACUAUAACGGUCCUAAGGUAGCGAAAUUCCUUGUCGGGUAAGUUCCGACCCGCACGAAAGGCGUAACGAUUUGGGCACUGUCUCAACGAGAGACUCGGUGAAAUCAUAGUACCGGUGAAGAUGCCGGUUACCCGCGACAGGACGGAAAGACCCCGUGGAGCUUUACUGUAGCCUGAUAUUGAAAUUCGGUACAGUUUGUACAGGAUAGGUAGGAGCCUUAGAAGCGUGAGCGCUAGCUUACGUGGAGGCAUUGGUGGGAUACUACCCUAAUUGUAUUGGAUUUCUAACCCGCAGCACUUAUCGUGCUGGGAGACAGUGUCAGGCGGGCAGUUUGACUGGGGCGGUCGCCUCCUAAAGAGUAACGGAGGCGCUCAAAGGUUCCCUCAGAAUGGUUGGAAAUCAUUCAUAGAGUGUAAAGGCAUAAGGGAGCUUGACUGCGAGACCUACAAGUCGAGCAGGGUCGAAAGACGGACUUAGUGAUCCGGUGGUUCCGCAUGGAAGGGCCAUCGCUCAACGGAUAAAAGCUACCCCGGGGAUAACAGGCUUAUCUCCCCCAAGAGUUCACAUCGACGGGGAGGUUUGGCACCUCGAUGUCGGCUCAUCGCAUCCUGGGGCUGUAGUCGGUCCCAAGGGUUGGGCUGUUCGCCCAUUAAAGCGGUACGCGAGCUGGGUUCAGAACGUCGUGAGACAGUUCGGUCCCUAUCCGUCGUGGGCGUAGGAAAUUUGAGAGGAGCUGUCCUUAGUACGAGAGGACCGGGAUGGACAUACCUCUGGUGUACCAGUUGUCGUGCCAACGGCAUAGCUGGGUAGCUAUGUAUGGACGGGAUAAGUGCUGAAAGCAUCUAAGCAUGAAGCCCCCCUCGAGAUGAGAUUUCCCAACUUC
Molecule: ribosomal RNA, 1238 nt
Filed under: Staphylococcus pseudintermedius
Lineage: Bacteria; Bacillati; Bacillota; Bacilli; Caryophanales; Staphylococcaceae
Description: partial 23S ribosomal RNA
Rfam family: Bacterial large subunit ribosomal RNA
Source: RNAcentral